CAGAAAUACUGAUUGACAGCAAAGGCUACUCUUCAAGGGAGAAAGAGCUAUUUUUUGGCCAGAACAUCCUCUUAGACUUGAGGAAUGCUGUCCAGGAUGAGGAAUGAUGGGGAGAGAGCCUGGGAGUCAACAGUUGGACAUAAAGGAUCAAAGAAAGGAAUGGGCAUAAAAGGAGAGGAGCCCAAGCAUGGAAAAGAGGAGAACAGAGAAGGGAGUCCUGAGGAGGAAGGAGGCAUCUGACACAACAGUGGUAAAAGCAUCCUUAGGAAACCCUGCUGUGUAUUGUGUCCUAUAGCUCUCCCACCACCUCUACCACAAGAGUCUUUGAGUGAAGCUCUCUGUGGCUUCCCCAGGCUUUUUUCUUUUUUCUUUUUGCAUGGGUAAGAUUUGUGUAUUUCAGGUUGUGAAACUGUGCUGA
RNAcentral lists this long non-coding RNA (418 nucleotides) under Pan troglodytes (chimpanzee). Its description in RNAcentral is "long non-coding RNA NONPTRT014701". Lineage: Eukaryota; Metazoa; Chordata; Mammalia; Primates; Hominidae. The record is from RNAcentral.